GCUAAUUCCGACAUAGGUACCUCUCAUAAUGCAACGUUUGCCGAAAGGCAAACUCGGCAGAUAAACAGUGAGGCUGAAUUUCUGCCGAACUGUUUAUCACAC
RNAcentral lists this small RNA (102 nucleotides) under Treponema maltophilum ATCC 51939. Its description in RNAcentral is "TD-2 RNA". It matches the Rfam family "TD-2 RNA". From Rfam's summary of the family: non coding RNA found in Treponema denticola The record is from Rfam by way of RNAcentral. Lineage: Bacteria; Pseudomonadati; Spirochaetota; Spirochaetia; Treponematales; Treponemataceae.